AGACCCGAAACCCGGUGAUCUAGCCAUGGGCAGGUUGAAGGUUGGGUAACACUAACUGGAGGACCGAACCGACUAAUGUUGAAAAAUUAGCGGAUGACCUGUGGCUGGGGGUGAAAGGCCAAUCAAACCGGGAGAUAGCUGGUUCUCCCCGAAAGCUAUUUAGGUAGCGCCUCGUGAAUUCAUCUCCGGGGGUAGAGCACUGUUUCGGCUAGGGGGCCAUCCCGGCUUACCAACCCGAUGCAAACUGCGAAUACCGGAGAAUGUUAUCACGGGAGACACACGGCGGGUGCUAACGUCCGUCGUGAAGAGGGAAACAACCCAGACCGCCAGCUAAGGUCCCAAAGUCAUGGUUAAGUGGGAAACGAUGUGGGAAGGCCCAGACAGCCAGGAUGUUGGCUUAGAAGCAGCCAUCAUUUAAAGAAAGCGUAAUAGCUCACUGGUCGAGUCGGCCUGCGCGGAAGAUGUAACGGGGCUAAACCAUGCACCGAAGCUGCGGCAGCGAACGUAUCACCCAAGACAACUUUACGGAGUUGACGAUUGACGGAGCGAAGCGACGUCAAAGCGUUCAUUAAAGUCGAGUUGGCUUAGGGAUACGUUCGUUGGGUAGGGGAGCGUUCUGUAAGCCUGUGAAGGUGUGUCGUGAGGCAUGCUGGAGGUAUCAGAAGUGCGAAUGCUGACAUAAGUAACGAUAAAGCGGGUGAAAAGCCCGCUCGCCGGAAGACCAAGGGUUCCUGUCCAACGUUAAUCGGGGCAGGGUGAGUCGACCCCUAAGGCGAGGCCGAAAGGCGUAGUCGAUGGGAAACGGGUUAAUAUUCCCGUACUUGGUGUUACUGCGAAGGGGGGACGGAGAAGGCUAUGUUGGCCGGGCGACGGUUGUCCCGGUUUAAGCGUGUAGGUGUGUGUUCCAGGUAAAUCCGGUUCACUUUAACACUGAGGCGUGACGACGAGGCACUACGGUGCUGAAGCAACAAAUGCCCUGCUUCCAGGAAAAGCCUCUAAGCAUCAGGUAACACGAAAUCGUACCCCAAACCGACACAGGUGGUCAGGUAGAGAAUACCAAGGCGCUUGAGAGAACUCGGGUGAAGGAACUAGGCAAAAUGGUGCCGUAACUUCGGGAGAAGGCACGCUGACACGUAGGUGAAGUGAUUUACUCAUGGAGCUGAAGUCAGUCGAAGAUACCAGCUGGCUGCAACUGUUUAUUAAAAACACAGCACUGUGCAAACACGAAAGUGGACGUAUACGGUGUGACGCCUGCCCGGUGCCGGAAGGUUAAUUGAUGGGGUCAGCGCAAGCGAAGCUCCUGAUCGAAGCCCCGGUAAACGGCGGCCGUAACUAUAACGGUCCUAAGGUAGCGAAAUUCCUUGUCGGGUAAGUUCCGACCUGCACGAAUGGCGUAAUGAUGGCCAGGCUGUCUCCACCCGAGACUCAGUGAAAUUGAACUCGCUGUGAAGAUGCAGUGUACCCGCGGCAAGACGGAAAGACCCCGUGAACCUUUACUAUAGCUUGACACUGAACAUUGAGCCUUGAUGUGUAGGAUAGGUGGGAGGCUUUGAAGUGUGGACGCCAGUCUGCAUGGAGCCGACCUUGAAAUACCACCCUUUAAUGUUUGAUGUUCUAACGUGGACCCGUAAUCCGGGUUGCGGACAGUGUCUGGUGGGUAGUUUGACUGGGGCGGUCUCCUCCUAAAGAGUAACGGAGGAGCACGAAGGUUGGCUAAUCCUGGUCGGACAUCAGGAGGUUAGUGCAAUGGCAUAAGCCAGCUUGACUGCGAGCGUGACGGCGCGAGCAGGUGCGAAAGCAGGUCAUAGUGAUCCGGUGGUUCUGAAUGGAAGGGCCAUCGCUCAACGGAUAAAAGGUACUCCGGGGAUAACAGGCUGAUACCGCCCAAGAGUUCAUAUCGACGGCGGUGUUUGGCACCUCGAUGUCGGCUCAUCACAUCCUGGGGCUGAAGUAGGUCCCAAGGGUAUGGCUGUUCGCCAUUUAAAGUGGUACGCGAGCUGGGUUUAGAACGUCGUGAGACAGUUCGGUCCCUAUCUGCCGUGGGCGCUGGAGAACUGAGGGGGGCUGCUCCUAGUACGAGAGGACCGGAGUGGACGCAUCACUGGUGUUCGGGUUGUCAUGCCAAUGGCACUGCCCGGUAGCUAAAUGCGGAAGAGAUAAGUGCUGAAAGCAUCUAAGCACGAAACUUGCCCCGAGAUGAGUUCUCCCUGAGACUUAGAGUCUCCUGAAGGAACGUUGAAGACGACGA
Molecule: ribosomal RNA, 2248 nt
Filed under: Salmonella enterica
Lineage: Bacteria; Pseudomonadati; Pseudomonadota; Gammaproteobacteria; Enterobacterales; Enterobacteriaceae
Also listed under: 1 other name
Description: partial 23S ribosomal RNA
Rfam family: Bacterial large subunit ribosomal RNA
Source: RNAcentral